CACAAAUAUACAAACAGAGACUUUGUGCGUAGACCAUCACCAAGUACACAACGAUAAAGGAAAAGCAACGUUAUUGGAUAUUGCUAUUGCAUAAAAUGGCCGAAAUGUCUACACCGAACGAUGAAGAAGAAUUGGUGUGGAAAAAUUUUGAAAAAUUGGAUAAUUUUAGGACAAAAUGUAAAUUGUGUCUCCUUUCUACUUUAAUUUUCAUGUACUGAGAUAUGACCCACGUGAGGCAUCAUUUCAAAAACCGCCAUCCAAAUGUAGACAUGAGUAAAAAACUUCAUCCGAAAUGGCUGCAUUUUAAUAAAAUUGACGAUUCGCGCAUUGAAUGUAAAUAUUGUCCUAAUAUUUAUCGGACCCACACUUCAAGCACUAGUUUGAAGGAACAUUUAUCUACGAAACAUGAUAUAAAUUUAGAAACUGAUUCUAAAAGGAGUUUUAUGUGGGACCAUAUUCAAGAGCUUGAUGAGGAUAAAAAUCAGGUGAAGUGUCUUGAGUGUAAUGAAAUGAUUAAAAUUGAUUAUCUGAUUACGAAAUUAUAUAAUCACUUACUUGAUAAACAUUUUGAUAUUAUAAAAAUACAAUCUUUACAAUGAGAAACUUAUAUGCCUGGGCCAUUAACAAGUGCACAAUGUUAAAGAGAAAAUAACGAUUUAUCCUGUUCAAAUAAAGGUUCUAUAUUCAAGUACCACAACCACAGUAGUAACAAUCUUGAUUCUGACGAUUUAAGUGAUUUGCAGUGUCUGAAGAAACAGCCAUAUCUAUGACAUA
Linepithema humile (Argentine ant) is the source of this 774-nucleotide non-coding RNA. The record is from RefSeq and is a predicted model, not a curated record. Lineage: Eukaryota; Metazoa; Arthropoda; Insecta; Hymenoptera; Formicidae.